AUUGAACGCUGGCGGCAGGCCUAACACAUGCAAGUCGAACGGUAGCACAGAGAGCUUGCUCUCGGGUGACGAGUGGCGGACGGGUGAGUAAGAUGUGUGAAACUGCCCGAUGGAGGGGGCUAACUACUGGAAACGGUAGGUAAUACCGCAUAACGUCGCAAGACCAAAGCGGGGGACCGUCGGGCCUCACACCAUCGGAUGUGCCCAGAUGGGAUUGGCUAGGAGGCGGUGGAAUGGCCCACCUAGGCGACGAUCCCUAGCUGGUCUGAGAGGAUGACCCGCCACACUGGAACUGAGACACAGUCCAGACUCCUACGGGAGGCAGCAGUGGGGAAUAUUGCACAAUGGGCGCAAGCCUGAUGCAGCCAUGCCGCGUGUAUGAAGAAGGCCUUCGGGUUGUAAAGUACUUUCAGCGGGGAGGAAGGCGGUGCGGUUAAUAACCGCGCCGAUUGACGUUACCCGCAGAAGAAGCACCGGCUAACUCCGUGCCAGCCGCCGCCGUAA
This 504-nucleotide ribosomal RNA is filed under the name uncultured bacterium. RNAcentral describes it as "partial 16S ribosomal RNA". It matches the Rfam family "Bacterial small subunit ribosomal RNA", at positions 29 to 523 of the family's 1533-position model. The record is from RNAcentral.